UAUCUUUUCUUUUGGUCGGAGUCGGUUUGGCUUGCACCCGAACAGUUGAAGUAAUAAAUUAAUCUGACUUAGUUUUGCAUAAUAAACAUGAAAAUUAUACGGAAGCGCUGCUUUAAAGUAAAUUAAAUCAAUAUUUCUUUUAAUUAGGUCCGCUUUGGUUUACACCUAACCAACCAAAAUAAUAAAUUAAUUCAACUUAGCGCCAAACAUUAAAUAAUCAAAAAAUAAUUAUGAUUAUUUAAUUUUCAUGUUUAUCCGGUCAAAAUAA
Molecule: long non-coding RNA, 268 nt
Filed under: Ananas comosus (pineapple)
Lineage: Eukaryota; Viridiplantae; Streptophyta; Magnoliopsida; Poales; Bromeliaceae
Description: long non-coding RNA (ACOM_LNC030678)
Source: RNAcentral